RNAcentral lists this ribosomal RNA (1356 nucleotides) under uncultured marine eukaryote. RNAcentral describes it as "SSU rRNA". It matches the Rfam family "Eukaryotic small subunit ribosomal RNA", at positions 411 to 1779 of the family's 1831-position model. The record is from RNAcentral.
CACUUCUAAGGAAGGCAGCAGGCGCGCAAAUUACCCAAUCCUGACUCAGGGAGGUAGUGACAAGAAAUAACAAUAAACCGGCUUAUGCCGGUUUAAUUGGGAUGAGUACAAUUUAAACAUCUUAACGAGGAACAAUUGGAGGGCAAGUCUGGUGCCAGCAGCCGCGGUAAUUCCAGCUCCAAUAGCGUAUACUAAAGUUGUUGCAGUUAAAAAGCUCGUAGUUGGAUUUCUGUGGGGACGGAGCGGCCGGCCGCAACUCGCGGUUCGAGCUAGCGCUUUCCCUACAUCCUGCCGCGAACCGUGCUACCAUUAGUUUGGUGGCGCCGGGGAUCGGCUCGAUUACUUUGAGAAAAAUAGAGUGUUCAAAGCAGGCCACAUGCCUUGAAUAAGUUAGCAUGGAAUAAUAACUAAGGACUUCGGUUCUAUUUUGUUGGUGUUCGGGACUGAAGUAAUGAUUGAUAGGGACAGUUGGGGCGGUCUGUAUUCCAAAGCGAGAGGUGAAAUUCUUAGACCUUCGGAAGACAAACAGCUGCGAAAGCGUUCCGCAAGGAUGUUCCCUUUGAUCAAGAACGAAAGUUGGGGGAUCGAAGACGAUCAGAUACCGUCGUAGUCUCAACUAUAAACUAUACCAGCUAGGGAUCGGCCAACGUUAUUUCAAACCGACUUGGUCGGCACCUUAUGAGAAAUCAAAGCAUCUGGGUUCCGGGGGGAGUAUGGUCGCAAGGCUGAAACUUAAAGGAAUUGACGGAAGGGCACCACCAGCCGUGGAGCCUGUGGCUUAAUUUGACUCAACACGGGAAAACUUACCAGGUCCAGACAUAGUAAGGAUUGACAGAUUGAUAGCUCUUUCUUGAUUCUGUGGGUGGUGGUGCAUGGCCGUUCUUAGUUGGUGGAGUGAUUUGUCUGGUUAACUCCGUUAACGAACGAGACCCCAGCCUGCUAAAUAGCGCGCGUGAGCUUUGCUCGCGGCGAGCUUCUUAGAGGGACUCUGAUGCGCGAUAGCACAUGGAAGUUUGGGGCAAUAACAGGUCUGUGAUGCCCUUAGAUGUUCUGGGCCGCACACGGGCUACACUGGCGCCUGCAUCGAGCAUAUCAGCUGGCCCGAGAGGGUCUUGGCUAAUCUUUUGAACCGGCGCCGUGCUUGGGAUUGACCUUUGCAAUUGUUGGUCAUGCAACGAGGAAUGCCUUGUAAACGCGAGUCAUCAGCUCGCAUUGAAUACGUCCCUGCCCUUUGUACACACCGCCCGUCGCUCCUACCGAUGAAUGUUCCGAUGAAAUUUUCGGAGAGCACCUGUGAACUUGGCUCUGCCUUGCGAACGGGAGGCUCAAAGUCACUUAAAUCUGAACAUUUCGAGG